AAUAUUUAUAAAAAAUCAGCAUUUGGUGAGAUAAGAGUAGAGUAUUAUAUGAUUUAUUCUUUUAUGGAAAUUGUUUUACUGAAAGCGAAUGGAUGUUCAUAAAGAAAAAACUCUUCCUGUUUUCCCUGGUUAUCAAAGAGAACAGCUUAAGAGACACAACUUUCUUAGCAUCUGACAGCAUGUUGUCUUUAUAGCCUUUUCGAAUGCUUUUGGAAGGUUAUAGAGAUGCAUUAAGUUAGGAAAAUGAAACCAGAAAUUUCACGUAAGAAAUGGCUAUUAUCGUUGACAAAUAAGUUGUUUGGAACAAGCUGAGAAACUAUAGACAAAUCAAGUAAUGGAACAAGCAGUUCAAAUACAGCUCACUGUUUCCAAAUGCUGACUUCCAACCAAAAUAAACCUCAACAACUUUAAACUUCAAAAAACUCAAUUGCUUGAUUGAGGAUCGGGUUGGGUCCAGUUCUGGGUACCGAUCAAGUAUCAAAUAUUAUAUUUUGGAAAGUUAAUCAAGCUAAAACAAUGAAACAUCCUAUACAUGCUACAAAAAUUAAAUUAUGAAUAACAAGCACUUCAUGGUUAACUAUGUAAUAGUGAUUGACUAGAUAUUGAAAAUAUAUACUUUACUUAAAGUCAAGUAUAAACACCUAACCAUGUUCCAACAUGUUAU
This 664-nucleotide long non-coding RNA is filed under the name Phoenix dactylifera (date palm). Its description in RNAcentral is "long non-coding RNA (PDAC_LNC019702)". Lineage: Eukaryota; Viridiplantae; Streptophyta; Magnoliopsida; Arecales; Arecaceae. The record is from RNAcentral.